Molecule: ribosomal RNA, 523 nt
Filed under: uncultured bacterium
Lineage: Bacteria
Description: bacterial SSU rRNA
Rfam family: Bacterial small subunit ribosomal RNA
Source: RNAcentral
UACGGAGGAUGCGAGCGUUAUCCGGAUUUAUUGGGUUUAAAGGGUGCGUAGGCGGAUGAAUAAGUCAGUGGUGAAAGGCUGCAGCUUAACUGUAGACUUGCCGUUGAUACUGUUUAUCUUGAGUGUGGUCAAGGCAGGCGGAAUGUGUAAUGUAGCGGUGAAAUGCUUAGAUAUUACACAGAACACCGAUUGCGAAGGCAGCUUGCUGGGCCAUUACUGACGCUGAUGCACGAAAGCGUGGGGAGCGAACAGGAUUAGAUACCCUGGUAGUCCACGCCGUAAACUAUGAUCACUAGCUGUUGGCGAUACACAGUCAGCGGCAAAGCAAAAGCAUUAAGUGAUCCACCUGGGGAGUACGGCCGCAAGGCUGAAACUCAAAGGAAUUGACGGGGGCCCGCACAAGCGGAGGAACAUGUGGUUUAAUUCGAUGAUACGCGAGGAACCUUACCUGGGCUUAAAUGUAGAGUGCAUGAGGUAGAAAUACUUCUUCCCUUCGGGGCUCUUUGCAAGGUGCUGCAUGGUU